UGGAAGUCAUAAAAUAGUGUAGGGUAUCAUAAAACAAUUCAAAAAGUCAUAAAAAUAUAUGGAGUUAUGAAACAAUAUUGGAAGUCAUGAAAUAGUGUCAGAAGUCAUGAAAUAGUGCAUCAUGAAAUAGUGUCAAAAAUCAUGAAACAAUAUCGAAAGUCAUGAAACAUUGGCGAAAGUAUAAGACAGUGCUAGAUGUCAAAAAAAAUAGUGGAGGAAGUCAUAAAAUACUAUAGGAAGAUAUCAAAUAUUGCUGGAAGUCAUAAAAUAGUGCAAAAAAUCUAAAAUAGUAUAAGAAGUGAUAAAAUAGUGUAGAAAAUCAUAAAUAGUAGAGAAAGUCAUAAAACAGUAUACGAUGUCAUCUAAAACUUGAUUUUGGAAGGGUUUAUGGAUGCCAUUAUUGGAUGAGUUUGAUGCUUACAUGUGCAACCAAAUUACACAGGAG
This 445-nucleotide long non-coding RNA is filed under the name Elaeis guineensis (African oil palm). Its description in RNAcentral is "long non-coding RNA (EGUI_LNC052141)". The record is from RNAcentral. Lineage: Eukaryota; Viridiplantae; Streptophyta; Magnoliopsida; Arecales; Arecaceae.